This 825-nucleotide long non-coding RNA is filed under the name Helianthus annuus (common sunflower). RNAcentral describes it as "sRNA HanXRQr2_Chr06g0275521". Lineage: Eukaryota; Viridiplantae; Streptophyta; Magnoliopsida; Asterales; Asteraceae. The record is from RNAcentral.
UCACCCUUAUCUCUUCCCUUGAUUCUUCUCCACAAAAUUCAAAACCCUAGCCCCCAUUUUGUUUUUCCUCAACACACACAAUCUGGAUAUCUAGAGAAAGAGUGAGAGUUGAAAGAAAGAGAGGGGCAAGAUGCAGCGAUGACAUCCGGCCGGCCACCUGGUCAUGACGGCGCUGCGGUUGUGGUUUCCCGGUGGUGUUUUAGUGGCAGAAGGGUUGUGUGGGUGCGACCGGGGUUUAAGGUGAUGACGGGAUGGGUGGUAAGGAGCAGGAGAGGCAACUGAGUGGUACACAGUGGCUCGAUGGGGAUGCACGACCACCACAGCGGCGGUAAUUGGUGCGGUGGUGGAUUGAACACCGAUUUGAUAUCUAAACGCACAAGGUUGAACACCGAUUUGAAGAAACCCUAACCUAAUUGCAGUUAAUGUUGGGCACUUGGAUUUGUGGUGUGGAACUUGCAAUCCCAAGUGGAAAAGUUAAAUAAAUGAUUCGAAGAGGCGCAACAAUCCCACACGGAAGUGUUGCAAAACCAAGUCGAAGGGAUGCAACACAAAUGAGAGAAGAUAUGCAACGACAAAUAACCGAGUUGAUGAAGCAGUUUGGUAAUCCUAGCAAUCCUCCACCAUAGUUUAGUUUUGUUUGUUUUCUUUUGCGGUUGAACUUGUAAUUUAACAACCGUGGCAUAUUUUCUUGUUGAACCUACAAUUAGACAAUGGUUUUGUAUUUUGUGGAUGAACUUUAAGUUCUAUAAUCGUGUCGUAUUUAGGAUUUUUAUUGGAUUUUUUUUUCUACAUUUUUAGUAGAAAAAAUCUGGAUUUUUUAUUUUU